AAAAACAAAAAAAUUAGCAGCCAAAGCUGGGCAGGGCAUGGAUUGUCUUCAGUGCGCUUCCGGUGCGGCCUCUUUCACGUCGUUGAGGGUGGAAUCUAGAACCUCCACUCCCAAUUUUGUUUCCGUUAGGGUUUCAUUUGCUCGUGAAUGGGACUUUUUGAGGAAGCCCUCUUUCCCGUUCUUGUCAUCGAGCGCUUAUUCUCUGCAUGAUGGUAAUCAAUUAAAGUUUUCCUUGAAAGUUGGAGUCUCAACAUGGAUUCAUGAUUUUAAAUGCCAAUCAAGAAAAAUUGGUAUCAGAAAUGAUCAUCCCCAGAAUGCUGAUCUGCCACCUUUUUACUCGAAGAAGGAGAAGAAGCCUUUUCCAAUACCCAUAGUUGAGCUGAGGCGAGCUGCAAGGGAGAGGAUAAAGAAAUUAAAGGGAAAGCCUAAGACUCCAACCCCUCCUCCAAGGAAUGGUAUGCUGGUCAAAAGCCUAGUUCCUGUCGCAUAUGAAGUGCUCAAUGCAAGGGUAAAACUAAUAAACAAUUUGAAGAAGCUCAUGAAAGUGGUACCGGUUCUUGCUUGCAAGCAUUGCAAUGAAAUCCAUGUUGGACCAAAUGGGCACCCAUUUCGCUCAUGCCGAGGUCUCCGAGCUGAAACCCGCCGAGGUCUUCAUGAAUGGACAAAGGCAAAUGUUGAUGAUGUGUUCGUCCCUAUUGAAGCCUACCAUCUAUUUGAUCGUCUUGGAAGGCGUAUAUCCCAUGAGGAGCGUUUUUCCAUCCCUCGCAUCCCAGCUAUUAUAGAGUUGUGCAUACAAGCUGGUGUAGACCUUCCUGAUCUCCACACCAAGAGGCGGAGAAGGCCGGUCAUUCGUCGUGGGAAAAAUGACAUCAUUGAUGCCAAUGAAGAUGAUCUUCCAGAUGACCUUGACCCCUAUGCCAAGUUUAGAAAGUCAAUCCUUGUUGAGAUCCCUGACUCUGAGAUAACUUCGCCAGUUGGGUCUGAGGAAGUAGCAUUGCUUGCAAUGGAGACAUUUGAGGCAUGGGAGUUGGUGAGGCAGGGGGCAGAGAGGCUGAUGAGGAAGUAUGCAGUGCGUGUAUGCGGAUAUUGUCCUGAGGUACACGUUGGCUAUAGUGGCCACAAGGCGCAGAACUGUGGUGCUCAUAAGCACCAACAACGAAAUGGACAACAUGGAUGGCAAAAAGCAGUUCUUGAUGACCUUGUUCCACCGAGGUAUGUAUGGCAUGUUCCAGAGAACAUGUUUGAGCUGCAACGGGAGCUACGAAAUUUCUACGGGCAGGCUCCGGCAAUAGUUGAGCUUUGUGUAAAGGGGGGGAUGGAGGUACCUGAAAAAUACAAGUCAACCAUGAGGCUGGACAUCGGUAUACCGACCAACUUAAGGGAAGCAGAAAUGGUGGUGUGAGUGAGUUGAUUUAUAGUUGAGUUGAGGGAGUUAUGAUGGAGUCUCAUAAUCAUGAAUUGAGAGAAGAUUGUUUUGAAGAUUCCCUUCUAUUUAACGAUGAUUCCAACCUUUAACUUUGAUGAGUAGAAUGGUGCUCUCCUCGUGCCAAUGUAAUAUUUAUUUUUUGAAUCCUCUUCGCUUUCUUUAACACAGCAUUUGAAAGUUGCUGUUGUAUCCUGAACAAUAUGAUGGUCUGAGACAGGGCACAGUUGAACAAUUGAAUCAAUACUACUGGAACAUGAAUCUAUUAGAUGUAACUUGUUCCGUCAUUGUUUCUAUUCUUCAUAGAAUUUGUCAAUCCUACAGAGCUUUUGAGUUUUUGUUUUGUUAUUCCGAUAAAAUGUAAUUCGUGAAUUGUGAAUUUUGUUGUUUUUGAAGAUUGCAAACAUUAUGUAUUCUUCAGUUCUGGUGGUUGUUUCCUUUUCUGAA
Dendrobium catenatum is the source of this 1870-nucleotide RNA transcript. It is a transcript of the gene named APO protein 2, chloroplastic-like, with no coding region annotated. The transcript is spliced from 5 exons. The record is from RefSeq and is a predicted model, not a curated record. NCBI's taxonomy places the organism in Eukaryota, Viridiplantae, Streptophyta, Magnoliopsida, Asparagales, Orchidaceae.